GACGAGGUGCACAAACGUUAUUCGGAUUUACUGGGCUUAAAGCGUGCGUAGGCGGCUUGGCAAGUUGGGUGUGAAAUCCCUCGGCUCAACCGAGGAACUGCGCCCAAAACUACCGUGCUCGAGGAAGAUAGAGGUGAGCGGAACUUACGGUGGAGCGGUGAAAUGCGUUGAUAUCGUAAGGAACACCCGUGGCGAAAGCGGCUCACUGGGUCUUCUCUGACGCUGAUGCACGAAAGCUAGGGGAGCAAACGGG
This 253-nucleotide ribosomal RNA is filed under the name uncultured bacterium. Its description in RNAcentral is "partial 16S ribosomal RNA". It matches the Rfam family "Bacterial small subunit ribosomal RNA", at positions 524 to 776 of the family's 1533-position model. The record is from RNAcentral.